CACCAAGACAGCGAUGGUUUCGAAGUCGAAAGGGGAUUAAGGUUUGGUAUCUCUCGGUUUUCACUCCGCACAAGAUAAACUCAGUCUGUUCCAGGGAUUUCUUUGCUGGAAGAGAAAAGCUGAAAGAGCUUGAUUGCAAGCGGUCUUAACUACGCAAUAGUUAGGCCUGGGGGAUGAAGAGACCUACUGAUGCAUACAAAGAAACUCAUAAUCAAACUCUUGCUCUAGAAGAUACAUUGUUUGGUGGUCAGAUCUCAAAUCUCCAGUUGCAGCCAAAGAGUUAACACCAGUCACUAUUGAGCCUGUCACUCAAGAACCAACAGCUCCCACGGAGGAUGAAGCACAUGUCGAAGUGAAAGAUGUGAAACCUAGGCCAUUGUCUCCUUUUCUGCCUAUGAAGACUUGAAAUCUCCAAAUUCUCCUAUUUCCACAUUCGACCACAGCACUUGGUGCCACCAAAGCGAAGGAGGUGGAAGCAACUCAGGUUCCGGAGGUGGAAGUAACUCAGGUUCCUGUUGAGACCAAUGUAGUUACAGUGUCAGAAAAUCUUGUUGAUGCCAAUGUCCCAGAAGCAGUAGAAUUUGGACUGAAUGAGUCGAUUCAAUAUGUGUAAAACAGAGAUGGUUCAACUAGUGAUUUCGGUUUGAAGUGAUGAAGUUAGAAGAAAG
Brassica oleracea var. oleracea is the source of this 668-nucleotide long non-coding RNA. RefSeq lists it as uncharacterized. NCBI's taxonomy places the organism in Eukaryota, Viridiplantae, Streptophyta, Magnoliopsida, Brassicales, Brassicaceae. The record is from RefSeq and is a predicted model, not a curated record. The transcript is spliced from 6 exons.